This is a non-coding RNA of Podarcis lilfordi (Lilford's wall lizard), 73 nucleotides long. The record is from the annotation of a GenBank genome assembly. NCBI's taxonomy places the organism in Eukaryota, Metazoa, Chordata, Lepidosauria, Squamata, Lacertidae.
GGAGGUCGUGGCUCAGGGCCAAAGCAUCUGCCUUGCAUGCAGAAUGUCCCAGGUUCAAUCCUGGGUAUCUCCA